Molecule: long non-coding RNA, 544 nt
Organism: Oncorhynchus tshawytscha (Chinook salmon)
Lineage: Eukaryota; Metazoa; Chordata; Actinopteri; Salmoniformes; Salmonidae
Exons: 2
Source: RefSeq, a predicted model, not a curated record
UCAUCACAGCCAGCGAUCAUCAUUCUCAAAGCCAAUGUUUACUUCUGAAGAUCACUUUAGCACCGCCCUAAAAACCCAAUUCAUAUUCGACACAAACCUUCAAAUAGUGAUAGCGAGGGAAGUGAUGUGGAGAGUCAGGGGUCAGCAGCAGAAGGCAAGGAGGAAGAGAAGUUAGAGAUGAGGAGUGGACGGAGAGCGGAAAAGUAGGGGGAGAGGAACAUGUACAGGAGGAAGCAGAGGGGGAGGGGGAGGAAGAGCACACCUGAGAGAGGACCCUACGUUUCCAUGGACUGCAUCUGCCCGAAGUCCCAUCGGUCACCCUUGUACUACACAGACUGGGCCUAAAGUGACAGUAGCAGGGGUUUUGGAGUUGUUUUUAAAAGUGGUAGGAGUUAUUUUUCUUCAGACCUGGUGUUUAAUACCAACCUGUCUGCCACCACAUCCAAUUCACUGAGUUGUUGUCAAAGUAGGCUGUUAUUUCUACAUUUUGUGUCAGGCUGUAAUAAAUCUUAUUGAGGGAGGCUAUCAACAUUUUGAAAUAGUC